AGAGUUUUCCUCUUCGGAGGACAAAAUGACAGGUGGUGCAUGGUUGUCGUCAGCUCGUGUCGUGAGAUGUUGGGUUAAGUCCCGCAACGAGCGCAACCCUUAAGCUUAGUUGCCAUCAUUAAGUUGGGCACUCUAAGUUGACUGCCGGUGACAAACCGGAGGAAGGUGGGGAUGACGUCAAAUCAUCAUGCCCCUUAUGAUUUGGGCUACACACGUGCUACAAUGGACAAUACAAAGGGCAGCGAAACUGCGAGGUCAAGCAAAUCCCAUAAAGUUGUUCUCAGUUCGGAUUGUAGUCUGCAACUCGACUAUAUGAAGCUGGAAUCGCUAGUAAUCGUAGAUCAGCAUGCUACGGUGAAUACGUUCCCGGGUCUUGUACACACCGCCCGUCACACCACGAGAGUUUGUAACACCCGAAGCCGGUGGAGUAACCAUUUGGAGCUAGCCGUCGAAGGUGGGACAAAUGAUUGGGGUGAAGUCGUAACAAGGUAGCCGUAUCGGAAGGUGCGGCUGGAUCACCUCCUUUCUAAGGA
This 533-nucleotide ribosomal RNA is filed under the name Staphylococcus agnetis. RNAcentral's name for it is "bacterial SSU rRNA". It matches the Rfam family "Bacterial small subunit ribosomal RNA", at positions 1007 to 1533 of the family's 1533-position model. The record is from RNAcentral. Lineage: Bacteria; Bacillati; Bacillota; Bacilli; Caryophanales; Staphylococcaceae.